Molecule: ribosomal RNA, 506 nt
Filed under: uncultured bacterium
Lineage: Bacteria
Description: partial 16S ribosomal RNA
Rfam family: Bacterial small subunit ribosomal RNA
Source: RNAcentral
GAUGAACGCUAGCUACAGGCUUAACACAUGCAAGUCGAGGGGUAACGAGAGGAAGGCUUGCUUUCCUUGUCGACGACCGGCGCACGGGUGAGUAACGCGUAUCCAACCUGCCCCCAACUAGGGAAUAACCUUGCGAAAGUAAGACUAAUACCCUAUAAUUUCCUCAGAUGACAUCUGACGAGGAAUAAAGGUUUAUCGGUUGUGGAUGGGGAUGCGUCUGAUUAACUUGUUGGCGGGGUAACGGCCCACCAAGGCAACGAUCAGUAGGGGUUCUGAGAGGAAGGUCCCCCACAUUGGAACUGAGACACGGUCCAAUCUCCUACGGGAGGCAGCAGUGAGGAAUAUUGGUCAAUGGGCGGAAGCCUGAACCAGCCAAGUAGCGUGCAGGAUGACGGCCCUAUGGGUUGUAAACUGCUUUUAUACAGGAAUAAAGUUAGCCACGUGUGGUUAUUUGUAGGUACUGUAUGAAUAAGGACCGGCUAAUUCCGUGCCAGCAGCCGCAGUAA